Empidonax traillii (willow flycatcher) is the source of this 1944-nucleotide RNA transcript. It is a transcript of the gene named nucleosome assembly protein 1-like 4, with no coding region annotated. Lineage: Eukaryota; Metazoa; Chordata; Aves; Passeriformes; Tyrannidae. The transcript has 9 exons. The record is from RefSeq and is a predicted model, not a curated record.
AUUUUUCUGCUUAGGAAUAUGAUGAACCUAUCUUGAAACAUCUGCAGGAUAUUAAAGUUAAGUUUUCUGAACCUGGACAGCCUAUGUCUUUCUCAUUAGAGUUCCACUUUGGGCCCAAUGACUACUUCUCUAAUUCAGUCCUGACAAAAACAUACAAGAUGAAGUCGGAGCCAGACAAGACAGAUCCCUUUUCAUUUGAAGGACCUGAAAUAGUUGAUUGUGAGGGGUGUACUAUUGACUGGAAGAAAGGAAAAAAUGUUACAGUUAAAACAAUCAAGAAAAAGCAGAAACACAAGGGUCGAGGCACAGUUCGGACAAUUACCAAACAAGUACCUAAUGAUUCUUUUUUUAACUUCUUCAGCCCUAUAAAGGUAUCUGGUGAUGGAGAGUCAUUGGAUGAAGAUUCAGAAUAUACUUUAGCUGCAGAUUUUGAAAUUGGACACUUCUUCCGUGAAAGGAUAGUCCCUCGUGCUGUGUUGUAUUUCACUGGUGAAGCUAUAGAGGAUGAUGAUAAUUUUGAAGAAGAUGAAGAAGGUGAAGAGGAGUUUAUCUCUAUUUUGUCAUAGGAGUUGGAGGGGGAAGAGGAGGGAGAAGAGGAAGAAGAUGCAGAGGGUGAUCCUAAGGUGUAAUAUAAGUCUGUUUAUCAUUCAUACAUUUCUAGAAAGAGUCCAGCCAACCUGCUGAAUGCAAACAACAGUAAUAAGGAAAUACCACUUGGAAGUGAUAUUUGAACAACUUGUAACAAAUAGUUGGAUACCUGGCCUGCAGUUCAGGAUAUUCCAUCGCUGCAGCACAAUCUUAUUAACAAUGCUUACAAUUAAUUUGUUUUAAAAUGCAUGAUUUUCACUAACUUUAUUGCUUAACAUGUACAGUGGCAACUUCAAUGCAUUUGGGAAAUAUGAGGUUUAAAUAAAGCACACUCUACAGCCGUUGGUACACUGUAGCUAAGUAUGUCAAUAGGCCUUUAGAGCCUUUUGCCCUAUGCAUAGGGGAAUAGUCCAGACUACCAUGUGAGGAUUAUCCAUUUUCUCAUUAAACAUUGAAAAUCGUGGAAUAGCAAUGUGCUGAGAAGCUAAAGUAAAUGGAUUACAUGUAUGGUAGCUGAAACAGAUAGAGCAAUAUGACUUUUUUGCUAGUUCCCUCCCCCCUUUUUUAAUGUUUCUGGCAACCUACAAAUUGAACUAGUGCUUGAGCAGCUUUAAAUGUCGUAUUUAUUAUCUCAGUACAACCAAUCGAGUUGAAGUAAUUUUACUUCAUUGAAGAGGGUGUCAUAUUUGAGACUUAGUUGUUCAUCUUACUAUUUAUUUAUUCAUGUUUGUAAGUACUUUGACAGGAUUAGUGCUUUUUAAUAGUUUUUAAUAUACUUGAAAAAUCUUCUUCCUCUUUUGCAUACAAUAUGGGUACUUGUAAAACAAAUAAUUCAAAUUGGUCUCAAUGUAGUAGUCUAGACAGAAGAAACAAACUUGCAUCAAAAUGACAACUCUUCUGGACGAAGAUCAAAAUGCAAAGGCCAAACUGUUGCUGUUGAUGGAAGUGGGUUGCAGCCAAAGAACCAGAACAUUUCCAGUAGUCUUACUGCUUAGUGUCCAGCAUGAAAGGACCUUUCGCUCUGAACACGGAAAUUUAUCAAAAUGAACCAGUUCAAUAAAUCUGAAGUUUGGGUGUCUUACUUGCAACACUGAAAUUAUUCCAUUCCACACUUUGUUUUAUUUAAAGUUCUGAAGUCUUCAAAACUACCUUUUGUUGUUGUGUGGCACUUCAGGUACACGUUUCUAGUUUCAGCAUCCAUUGCCAACCUCUGGCAGCAGUUGAAUAGCAGCUGUAUCAACACUGUGACCAGGCAUGUAGAGUGCUCCAGCCUUACCUUACACAUUUGUAACUUAAUACAGUGUUUUCAAUUUGUACAGAAUAGAUAGAAUAUUCUAUUAAAGUUGUGAAACAUGA